RNAcentral lists this small nuclear RNA (132 nucleotides) under Canis lupus familiaris (dog). RNAcentral's name for it is "U4 spliceosomal RNA (multiple genes)". The stretch from base 1 to 68 matches the Rfam family "U4 spliceosomal RNA". From Rfam's summary of the family: U4 small nuclear RNA (U4 snRNA) is a component of the major U2-dependent spliceosome. Lineage: Eukaryota; Metazoa; Chordata; Mammalia; Carnivora; Canidae. The record is from RNAcentral.
AGCUUUGUGCAGUGGCAGUAUUGUAGCCAAUGAGGUUUAUCUGAGGCACGAUUAUUGCUAAUUAAAAUGGGGGUAAUAUUAACGUCUAUCUUCAAAGUUUUGAGGAGGUUGAAUAAGAAAGCACACAUAACC